Molecule: small nuclear RNA, 188 nt
Filed under: Penaeus japonicus
Lineage: Eukaryota; Metazoa; Arthropoda; Malacostraca; Decapoda; Penaeidae
Description: U2 spliceosomal RNA
Rfam family: U2 spliceosomal RNA
About the family: U2 is a small nuclear RNA (snRNA) component of the spliceosome (involved in pre-mRNA splicing). Complementary binding between U2 snRNA (in an area lying towards the 5' end but 3' to hairpin I) and the branchpoint sequence (BPS) of the intron results the bulging out of an unpaired adenosine, on the BPS, which initiates a nucleophilic attack at the intronic 5' splice site, thus starting the first of two transesterification reactions that mediate splicing.
Source: RNAcentral
AUCGCUUCUCGGCCUUUUGGCUAAGAUCAAAGUGUAGUAUCUGUUCUUAUCAGCUUAAUAUCUGAUACGAUCCCCAUGUGGGAUCUACAUUAUUAAACUGAUUUUUGGAAUAUGGCGAAGUGCUAGGGGCUUGCUCCACCUUUGCCGCAGAUCGGUGUGCAGGUACCUCCGGUAUUGGUCCACUCCCC